UUUAGUCAGGCAACGAGCGAGACCCGUGCCCACUGUUACCAGCAUGUCCUCCGGGACGAUGGGUACUCUGUGGGGACCGCCGGUGUUAAAUCGGAGGAAGGUGCGGGCCACGGUAGGUCAGUAUGCCCCGAAUUUCCCGGGCUACACGCGGGCUACAAUGAAUGGGACAAUGGGUCCCUUCCCCGAAAGGGGUUGGUAAUCUCACAAACCCAUCCGUAGUUCGGAUCGAGGGCUGUAACUCGCCCUCGUGAAGCUGGAAUCCGUAGUAAUCGCGUUUCAAUAUAGCGCGGUGAAUACGUCCCUGCUCCUUGCACA
RNAcentral lists this ribosomal RNA (315 nucleotides) under uncultured archaeon. Its description in RNAcentral is "bacterial SSU rRNA". It matches the Rfam family "Archaeal small subunit ribosomal RNA", at positions 1029 to 1343 of the family's 1478-position model. The record is from RNAcentral.